This 760-nucleotide ribosomal RNA is filed under the name uncultured Inocybe. RNAcentral's name for it is "partial 28S ribosomal RNA". It matches the Rfam family "Eukaryotic large subunit ribosomal RNA", at positions 216 to 962 of the family's 3401-position model. Lineage: Eukaryota; Fungi; Basidiomycota; Agaricomycetes; Agaricales; Cortinariaceae. The record is from RNAcentral.
GAAUCCCGUCUUUGACACGGACUGCCUGCAUGUUAUGGUGCGCUCUCAAAGAGUCGAGUUGUUUGGGAAUGCAGCUCAAAAUGGGUGGUAAAUGSCAUCUAAAGCUAAAUAUUGGCGAGAGACCGAUAGCGAACAAGUACCGUGAGGGAAAGAUGAAAAGAACUUUGGAAAGAGAGUUAAACAGUACGUGAAAUUGCUGAAAGGGAAACGCUUGAAGUCAGUCGCGUCGGCUAGAAAUCAACCUUGCUUUUGCUUGGUGUACUUUCUUGUUGAUGGGUCAGCAUCAAUUUUGACCGUUGGAUAAAGUCGUUGGGAAUGUGGCAUCUUAGGAUGUGUUAUAGCCCAUCGUCGCAUACAGCGGUUGGGAUUGAGGAACUCAGCACGCCCUUCUGGGGACGGGUUUCGACCACGUUUCGUGCUUAGGAUGCUGGCAUAAUGGCUUUAAUCGACCCGUCUUGAAACACGGACCAAGGAGUCUAACAUGCCUGCGAGUGUUUGGGUGGAAAACCCAUGCGCGCAAUGAAAGUGAAAGUUGAGAUCCCCUCAAGGGGAGCAUCGACGCCCGGACCAGAGCUUCUGUGACGGAUCCGCGGUAGAGCAUGUAUGUUGGGACCCGAAAGAUGGUGAACUAUGCCUGAAUAGGGUGAAGCCAGAGGAAACUCUGGUGGAGGCUCGUAGCGAUUCUGACGUGCAAAUCGAUCGUCAAAUUUGGGUAUAGGGGCGAAAGACUAAUCGAACCAUCUAGUAGCUGGUUCCUGCC